RNAcentral lists this long non-coding RNA (545 nucleotides) under Durio zibethinus. RNAcentral describes it as "long non-coding RNA (DZIB_LNC001752)". Lineage: Eukaryota; Viridiplantae; Streptophyta; Magnoliopsida; Malvales; Malvaceae. The record is from RNAcentral.
UUUUUAGCAGGGAACACGUAAACUUUUCCUUCAAAAGAGAAAGUUAGCUCGGUAGUUCUCGACGCCAUAACAACGCCUCCACCAGCUGCGCCACCGCCACCAUUAACACCGCCUACUACACCUAUUCCAUGCUCUUCAAACGGAUGCACUUGCAGUGGCUGUGGAUUGACAGCCGCCAAAUAUAAACAACCAAAGGCGGCACUGUUCUAAUUGUACCGAAAAUCGAAGCCCUGAGCUUGCGAUUAUCACCCUAUUCAUUGAAGAUCCAUGGCUUCUGUCCAGUUGUUGGUUACUCAAAUAUUUCUUUUAGAAUUUUUUCAUCAAUACAAUCGUAUCAGUUGUUAUAUGUUUAUUCGCUUAGUUAGAAUGUGGUUAGCAUGUUUAACAUUGUACUUGUACUUGUGCUAUGAAUGUUGUGUGAAAAACACUUGUAAAUAUUGUGUAAGUGUUACAGGGAGUCUUUACCAAGCUCGAAAUUCUCUGUUCCUAUGAUUUGAAGAUACUGCUUACUCUGUGUUUGAUAAAAUGUCUAAGUGAAUUUGCAG